Molecule: unclassified non-coding RNA, 151 nt
Filed under: uncultured Nectria
Lineage: Eukaryota; Fungi; Ascomycota; Sordariomycetes; Hypocreales; Nectriaceae
Description: sequence contains ITS2
Source: RNAcentral
AAACCCUCAAGCCUUGCUUGGUGUUGGGGAUCAGCCUUCUACGGCUGGCCCUGAAAAUUAGUGGCGGUCUCGCUGUAGCUUCCUCUGCGUAGUAGCACACCUCGCUCUGGAAAGCAGCGCGGCCUAGCCGUUAAACCCCCUACUUUUAUAA